Molecule: ribosomal RNA, 466 nt
Filed under: uncultured bacterium
Lineage: Bacteria
Description: partial 16S ribosomal RNA
Rfam family: Bacterial small subunit ribosomal RNA
Source: RNAcentral
GACGAACGCUGGCGGCGUGCUUAACACAUGCAAGUCGAACGGAAAGGCCCUGCUUGCCGGGUACUCGAGUGGCGAACGGGUGAGUAACACGUGGGUGAUCUGCCCUGCACUUCGGGAUAAGCUUGGGAAACUGGGUCUAAUACCGGAUAGGAGCCAUCUUUAGUGUGGUGGUUGGAAAGUUUUUUCGGUGUAGGAUGAGCUCGCGGCCUAUCAGCUUGUUGGUGGGGUAAUGGCCUACCAAGGCGGCGACGGGUAGCCGGCCUGAGAGGGUGUACGGCCACAUUGGGACUGAGAGACGGCCCAGACUCCUACGGGAGGCAGCAGUGGGGAAUAUUGCACGAUGGGCGCAAGCCUGAUGCAGCGACGCCGCGUGGGGGAUGAAGGCCUUCGGGUUGUAAACUCCUUUCGCUAGGGACGAAGCUUUGUUGUGACGGUACCUAGAUAAGAAGCACCGGCUAACUACGUG